UACGAAGGAGGCUAGCGUUGCUCGGAAUCACUGGGCGUAAAGCGCACGUAGGCGGAUCGCUAAGUCAGGGGUGAAAUCCUGGAGCUCAACUCCAGAACUGCCUUUGAUACUGGCAAUCUCGAGUCCGGGAGAGGUGAGUGGAACUGCGAGUGUAGAGGUGAAAUUCGUAGAUAUUCGCAAGAACACCAGUGGCGAAGGCGGCUCACUGGCCCGGUACUGACGCUGAGGUGCGAAAGCGUGGGGAGCAAACAGG
RNAcentral lists this ribosomal RNA (253 nucleotides) under uncultured bacterium. RNAcentral describes it as "partial 16S ribosomal RNA". It matches the Rfam family "Bacterial small subunit ribosomal RNA", at positions 524 to 776 of the family's 1533-position model. The record is from RNAcentral.